RNAcentral lists this unclassified non-coding RNA (240 nucleotides) under soil metagenome. RNAcentral's name for it is "partial contains 5.8S ribosomal RNA, internal transcribed spacer 2, and large subunit ribosomal RNA". The record is from RNAcentral.
AACCUAGCACACCUGCGGUGUGUACCUGCGGAAGGAUCAUUAUCGAGUGCGAACCCCCCCGUAAAAAAGGGGGGUUACCUCCAGUCCUUUGCUGGGUGUACCCUAUUCCAUUUGGAAGGGGGUUACCUUUCAAGACCCUUCUGCUUCGGCGGGGUUACCUGCCGGAACAACCUCAAAUUCUUUGUCAAAUGGUUCCGUCCGAGAAAACUUUUGAAAAAGCGAAAACUUUCAACAACGGAU